UCCCUGUGCGUAAAGUGGUCAGAAUCUCCGCCUGUCACGCGGAAGACCGUGGUUCAAUUCCCCGACAGGGAG
Molecule: transfer RNA, 72 nt
Filed under: Pelagophyceae sp. CCMP2097
Lineage: Eukaryota; Pelagophyceae
Description: tRNA-Asp
Rfam family: tRNA
About the family: Transfer RNA (tRNA) molecules are approximately 80 nucleotides in length. Their secondary structure includes four short double-helical elements and three loops (D, anti-codon, and T loops).
Source: RNAcentral